This is a long non-coding RNA of Ornithorhynchus anatinus (platypus), 1825 nucleotides long. RefSeq lists it as uncharacterized. The transcript has 2 exons. NCBI's taxonomy places the organism in Eukaryota, Metazoa, Chordata, Mammalia, Monotremata, Ornithorhynchidae. The record is from RefSeq and is a predicted model, not a curated record.
CCCGCCAUCUUGGGUCGGUCCUCGUCGAGGACGGCGCCCGAAAAACCGCCCUCCUGACGAGAUUUUUUUUCGUCCUCCCCCGCUCAUCCCCUUGAACGAGGUGAUAAUGGUUGGCCUGCGGUUCGAAGAUAAACCCUGUCGGGGACGAGCCUGCACCCAUGAACUGGGACUAGACUGUGGUUUCUGUAUUCUAGAAGGCAGAAGAGUCAUUUCAUCCAACUUAAAUCUAGAGCUAUUACAUACUUGCAUCUCAGGAUAAAUUAGAUGAGCAAGAGUUUGAGGAAAAAAAAAUCCAAUACCAGUCACAGGAGUGUUGAUGACUGAAGAAAAUAUGCUCACCCCAACAGCUCUCUUCUAACUCGCUGUGGCUGGAGGCUGACUGCAGGUGGGGGGAAAUGGAGUGGGAGGAUUGUGGAGGGGAACUGAGCAAAUCUUUCCAAAGUGUUCCAGUUUUAAAAAUUAAGAAUUGUUUAUGACCUGCUGACCUCAUUCCACCACACAGUCCUCCAAUCUUAUUUACUGAGCGCUUGCUGUGGUCAGAGCACUGUACUAAAUGCUUGGGAGAGAACAAUCCAAAGAGCAGGAAUACACGAUCCCUGUCCACAGUGAGCUUACAGUAAAGCUCACCACCUAACAAGUUUAUUUUGAGGGAUAACCCCUAGGACAAAUCUCUCUCAAUACACUUCCUAUUAAAUUUCUAAAUACAAAAGGUUAAUAUUUUACAAGGCAGUUUAUUUAAAGACUCCUUGUACUAAUCACCCAGUGUCUGACGUCUUUUCCACUCUACUCAAUUCAAAGCACAUAGCUAGACUGUAAGCUCUUUGUGGGGAGGGAAUGUGUCCAUUUAUUGCUGUAUUGUACUCUUCCAAGCGCUUCGUACAGUGCUCUGCACAUAGUAAACGCUCAAUACCAUUGAACGAAUGAAUAACAAACUACCCUGUAUUUAUACAGUGCCCCCAAAAUGGCUUCAGUUUGGGGGUAUGAGGAAACAAGUAGACUGACCACAGAUUUUGGCAAAAAAAGUAAUUUACGAGCAAAGCCCUAAACCAAUCUCUUGCCUCUUACCAAAAUGGGGCUUUUUAAUAUUGAUACACAGUUCUUGUUUUUAGAGUCUCUCACAAAAAAAGUAUUUUUAGCAUCUCAAAGCAUUUUAAGGCAUGAGAGACUGAUUCUGGAGUCCAUGAUAUCAGGAGAAAGAGAGAGGCGAGGAUUGGGAUUAUCGCCUUUCGACUGUUAUUUUGGAGAGACACAGACUCCUUGAGACUUAGAGAUCAGAUGGGCUUAUCCAAGGUCAUAUGAUUUCAGAACUAGUUUAUUCCAGCUUUAGAAAGAGAUUAUGGUGCUUCACCUUUCCCAGUUCAGUCACUAGAUCACUCUGGGACAUGGGACACCUACAGAACUUUAGCUGCUUUCCGGAAGGAAAAGGAUCUACUUUUACCACUAUGCAACUUUUUGACCCACAGCUGAGACUUUGAAUGCAUGCACCACAGUGCUGAGCUCCAAAUUACAUGAUCUGAAUAUGUUUAUUUCUCCAUAUGAAUGCAAUAUAGAGAAGUUAAACCUGCAAACUAGUUGAACUCCCUGGAGAGCUAUGUUGGUUCAAGGUUUCAUCAUCAUGGAUGUGGAUAUCGUGACUUGUGGGAAUAUCAAGAUGCAUACGUGUCUGAUAUUUAAAGAUUUCAUUUCUUGGUUUGAAACGUUAUCAGAAAAUGUCAGCCCCUUCCCCAUCCAGCCUGCUGAUUCUAGGCUCUGGUUCCUGUUGUACCGUCAGUUCUGGUCAAAUGCUAACAAUUCUUGACUUGAGACAACAGUUGCAUGAUUAUUA